This 1582-nucleotide ribosomal RNA is filed under the name uncultured bacterium. Its description in RNAcentral is "bacterial SSU rRNA". It matches the Rfam family "Bacterial small subunit ribosomal RNA". The record is from RNAcentral.
AGAGUUUGAUCCUGGCUCAGGACGAACGCUGGCGGCGUGCUUAACACAUGCAAGUCGAGGGCACUUCGGGGCAACUCGAGGUGACCGGCGAACGGGUGCGUAACACGUGAGCGACCUGCCCUGGUGUGGGGGAUAGCCGGCCCAACGGCCGGGUAACACCGCAUACGCUUCUCGGGUUUCAUGGCCUGGGAAGGAAAGUCUUCGGAUGCACCAGGAGGGGCUCGCGGCCUAUCAGCUAGUUGGUGAGGUAACGGCUCACCAAGGCGAUGACGGGUAGCUGGUCUGAGAGGAUGGCCAGCCACAUUGGGACUGAGAAACGGCCCAGACUCCUACGGGAGGCAGCAGUGGGGAAUCUUGCGCAAUGGUCGAGAGACUGACGCAGCGACGCCGCGGGGCGGGAGGACGCCCUUCGGGGGUGGUAAACCGGCUGGUUAGCCGGGGACGAAACACGGAUUCAUUCCGUUUGGACGGGUACCGGGGGGGAGGGAAGCAACCGGGCUAACUUCUGUUGGCCCGCCAGCCCGCCGGGUAAUUACCAGAAGGGUUGCGCAAGCGUUGGUCCGGGAAUUCACCUGGGGGCGGUAAAAGGGGCGCCGUAAGGCGCAUAUUCAUGCGUGGCAGGUAAGCUCGGAGCUUCAACUCUCUAGUCUCGCCGUGCGUACUCGGUUGUCUGGAGAUCUGUAGAGUGUCGAUCGACUUCCCGGGUGUAGCGGUGGACUGCCGUAGAAGAUCUCGGAGAACCACCCGUGGGCGGAAAGCGUCGACUUGUCCAGUACUGACGCUGAUCGCGCGACAGCGUGGGGAGCAAACCCAGGAUUAGAUACCCCUGGUUAGUUCACCCCCGUAAACGAAUGGGCACUAGAUCCUCUUGGGAGCGGACCCCUGAGGGGUCGGGCGCUAACCGCAUUAAGUGCCCCCCGCCCUGGGGAUACGCCCGCCAAGGCUUGAAACUCAAAGGGAAAUUGACGGGGGGCCCCGCCCAACGCGGUUGGAGCAAUUGUGGUUUAAUUCGACGGCAAACGGCGAGAGACCCUUACCUGGGCUUUGACCGUGCACGGGGGACCUUCUAGGGAAACCUGGGGGGGCCUCUUCGGAGCCCCGUGCAACAGGUGCUGCAUGGCCUGUCGUCCAGCUCGUGUCCGUGAGAUGUUGGGUUAAGUCCCGCCAACGAAGCGCAACCCCUUGGGACUAGUUGCCAGCGAGUCAUGUCGGGGACUCUAGUCCGACUGCCGGUGCCAAACCGGAGGAAGGUGGGGACGACGUCAAGUCAUCAUGGUCCUUACGUCCAGGGCUACACACGUGCUACAAUGGGCGGGACAGAGGGCAGCGGUGCCGAAAGGCCGAGCCAAUCCCAGAAACCCGUCCUCAGUUCGGAUUGUCGUCUGCAACUCGACGGCAUGAAGCUGGAAUCGCUAGUAAUCGCGGAUCAGCGAUGCCGCGGUGAAUACGUUCCCGGGCCUUGUACACACCGCCCGUCACGCCAUGGAAGCUGUGAGUGCCCGAAGUCGGUGCCGCAACCCGCAAGGGGGCAAGCCGCCGAAGGCAAGCGCAGUGACUGGGGCGAAGUCGUAACAAGGUAACC